Molecule: unclassified non-coding RNA, 205 nt
Filed under: Hevea brasiliensis (rubber tree)
Lineage: Eukaryota; Viridiplantae; Streptophyta; Magnoliopsida; Malpighiales; Euphorbiaceae
Source: RNAcentral
AGAGAGAGAGAUAGAGAGAGAGAAUUCAUAACUUCACGUGAUAAACUAAAAUUUCAAGUAUUCAGAUUCACAAGGCAAUCUUCAAAAUUUCACGAUAACCUAACAAGAAAUUAAAUAAAACCCACAAAAAAACAAGAAUACAAAUGCAAAAUUACCAAAAAUUGAAUAAUUGACUCAUCACGUGAAGCCUAGAAGAGCUUACCUG